UCCCUCGAGCCGGAUUUGAACCAGCGACCUAAGGAUCACCGUUGUAACAUCUACAGUCCUCCGUUCUGCCAACUGAGCUAUCGAGGG
Molecule: transfer RNA, 87 nt
Filed under: Cordylochernes scorpioides
Lineage: Eukaryota; Metazoa; Arthropoda; Arachnida; Pseudoscorpiones; Chernetidae
Description: tRNA-Tyr
Source: RNAcentral